This 252-nucleotide ribosomal RNA is filed under the name uncultured bacterium. RNAcentral's name for it is "partial 16S ribosomal RNA". It matches the Rfam family "Bacterial small subunit ribosomal RNA", at positions 524 to 775 of the family's 1533-position model. The record is from RNAcentral.
UACGUAGGGUGCAAGCGUUGUCCGGAAUUAUUGGGCGUAAAGAGCGUGUAGGCGGCCCGAUUAGUCCGCUGUGAAAGUCCAGGGCUCAACCCUGGAAUGCCGGUGGAUACUGUCGGGCUAGAGUCCGGAAGGGGCGAGUGGAAUUCCUGGUGUAGCGGUGAAAUGCGCAGAUAUCAGGAGGAACACCAAUGGCGAAGGCAGCUCGCUGGGACGUGACUGACGCUGAGACGCGAAAGCGUGGGGAGCAAACAG